AAGGUGGGGUAGAUGACUGGGGUGAAGUCGUAACAAGGUAUCCCUACCGGAAGGUGGGGAUGGAUCACCUCCUUU
This is a ribosomal RNA of Seinonella peptonophila, 75 nucleotides long. It matches the Rfam family "Bacterial small subunit ribosomal RNA", at positions 1459 to 1533 of the family's 1533-position model. The record is from Rfam. NCBI's taxonomy places the organism in Bacteria, Bacillati, Bacillota, Bacilli, Caryophanales, Thermoactinomycetaceae.